This 1538-nucleotide long non-coding RNA is filed under the name Brassica rapa (field mustard). RNAcentral describes it as "long non-coding RNA (BRAP_LNC003223)". The record is from RNAcentral. Lineage: Eukaryota; Viridiplantae; Streptophyta; Magnoliopsida; Brassicales; Brassicaceae.
UACAAAUCGCCUCCUCCUCCUACCCCAACAUACGUAUACAAGUCUCCUCCACCACCAACUCCAACUUACGUAUACAAAUCACCACCACCGCCGACUCCAACUUACGUCUACAAGUCGCCUCCUCCACCUACGCCAACCUAUGUCUAUAAAUCUCCACCGCCACCAACCCCGACUUAUGUUUACAAGUCACCACCACCUCCGACUCCGACAUACAUUUACAAGUCUCCACCACCUCCUACUCCGACUUAUGUCUACAAGUCACCACCUCCACCAACCCCUACAUAUGUCUAUAAGUCACCACCUCCACCCACUCCGACCUACGUCUACAAGUCACCACCACCUCCAACUCACACUCCUACACCAUACUACUACCAUUCUCCACCACCACCAGUAAAAUCCCCUCCACCUCCUUAUUACUACCACUCACCACCACCACCGGUUAAAUCUCCACCACCACCAUACUACUAUCAUUCACCACCUCCUCUGGUGAAGUCUCCUCCACCACCAUACUAUUACCAUUCACCACCACCUCCAGUAAAAUCUCCUCCCCCCCCAUACUACUAUCACUCCCCACCUCCUCCAGUGAAGUCUCCUCCGCCACCUUACUAUUAUCACUCCCCACCUCCUCCAGUAAAAUCACCACCACCACCAUAUUAUUACCACUCUCCACCUCCUCCCGUGAAAUCCCCCCCACCUCCAUACUACUACCACUCACCACCCCCUCCGGUAAAAUCACCCCCACCACCAUAUUACUAUCACUCCCCACCUCCACCAGUGAAAUCCCCACCACCACCGUACUACUACCAUUCUCCACCCCCACCGGUAAAAUCUCCGCCACCACCAUACUAUUACCACUCCCCACCUCCUCCGGUGAAAUCUCUACCACCACCGUACUAUUACCAUUCACCACCUCCUCCGGUGAAAUCUCCUCCUCCACCAUACUACUAUCACUCACCUCCUCCACCAGUAAAAUCUCCUCCGCCACCGUACUAUUACCACUCUCCACCUCCUCCAGUGAAGUCGCCUCCACCUCCUUAUUACUACCACUCACCUCCUCCUCCGGUGAAAUCCCCACCACCACCAUAUUAUUACCACUCACCACCCCCACCCGUCAAAUCUCCUCCACCUCCAUAUUAUUACCACUCACCACCUCCUCCGGUGAAAUCUCCACCACCACCAUAUUAUUACCACUCACCUCCUCCUCCGGUGAAAUCUCCACCACCACCAUAUUACUACCAUUCACCUCCCCCUCCAGUCAAAUCUCCACCACCACCAUAUUACUACCAUUCACCUCCCCCUCCAGUGAAAUCCCCACCACCACCAUAUUACUACCAUUCACCACCUCCUCCAGUGAAAUCUCCACCACCACCAUACUACUACAACUCUCCACCACCACCAGUAAAAUCUCCCCCACCUCCCGUCUACAUCUACGCUUCUCCCCCACCUCCUACCCAUUACUAGGCUCGUCAAAUUCAACCAAGUUUCCCCAUUAUUCAAGUAAGUCCCAAGGCUCCAAUAUUCUAAGUAUGCUCCAUAUC